This 86-nucleotide transfer RNA is filed under the name Clostridiales bacterium. RNAcentral describes it as "tRNA-Leu". It matches the Rfam family "tRNA". From Rfam's summary of the family: Transfer RNA (tRNA) molecules are approximately 80 nucleotides in length. Their secondary structure includes four short double-helical elements and three loops (D, anti-codon, and T loops). Further hydrogen bonds mediate the characteristic L-shaped molecular structure. tRNAs have two regions of fundamental functional importance: the anti-codon, which is responsible for specific mRNA codon recognition, and the 3' end, to which the tRNAs corresponding amino acid is attached (by aminoacyl-tRNA synthetases). tRNAs cope with the degeneracy of the genetic code in two manners: having more than one tRNA (with a specific anti-codon) for a particular amino acid; and 'wobble' base-pairing, i.e. permitting non-standard base-pairing at the 3rd anti-codon position. The record is from RNAcentral. Lineage: Bacteria; Bacillati; Bacillota; Clostridia; Eubacteriales. RNAcentral also lists the same sequence under 1 other name.
GCAGAUAUGGCGGAACUGGUAGACGCGCUGGUUUCAGGAACCAGUGAUGAACAGUCAUGAGGGUUCGAGUCCCUCUAUCUGCACCA